AAGUACUGGUUUCUCGUCCAAUCACCGAAGUUAAGCAUCAUCGGUCGCGGUUAGUAUUUGGGAGGGUGACCACCUGGGAGCACCACGUACCGU
Non-coding RNA from Trichonephila clavata, 93 nucleotides. The record is from the annotation of a GenBank genome assembly. NCBI's taxonomy places the organism in Eukaryota, Metazoa, Arthropoda, Arachnida, Araneae, Nephilidae.